AUGGUGUUUGGUUAUCCCAUUAAUACAUUAUUUGCCUUUACUACAAGGAGGAGGCCCCAGGGAGAGUGCGCAGCUUAGCGGACAGGGGCACGUGUAUGAGUGUGGGAUGGAUGAUGCAUGAUUGUCUAUAUGCUACAUGUGGGAGUGUGAGAUGUGAGGAAGUGGGUGGUGACAGAUCAGACUGAUCUCAGUGCCACUUAGGAGCCGGG
Pelobates cultripes (western spadefoot toad) is the source of this 209-nucleotide non-coding RNA. NCBI's taxonomy places the organism in Eukaryota, Metazoa, Chordata, Amphibia, Anura, Pelobatidae. The record is from the annotation of a GenBank genome assembly.